This 388-nucleotide ribosomal RNA is filed under the name uncultured bacterium. RNAcentral describes it as "bacterial SSU rRNA". It matches the Rfam family "Bacterial small subunit ribosomal RNA", at positions 92 to 469 of the family's 1533-position model. The record is from RNAcentral.
CUAGAGGCGAACGGGUGAGUAACACGUAUCCAACCUUCCCUUUUGACUGGGAUAACUAAAAGAAAUUUUAGCUAAUACCGGAUGAUAUAUUUAGACGCAUGUCUUUAUAUUAAAAGUUGGGUUUCCAACACAUUAGGAUGGGGAUGCGCCACAUUAGCUAGUUGGUAGGGUAACGGCCUACCAAGGCAACGAUGUGUAGCUAUACUGAGAGGUAGAAUAGCCACAAUGGAACUGAAACACGGUCCAUACUCCUACGGGAGGCAGCAGUAGGGAAUUUUCCACAAUGGGGGCAACCCUGAUGGAGCAACGCCGCGUGAACGAUGAAGGCCUUCGGAUCGUAAAGUUCUUUUAUAAGGGAAGAAUACUAAAAGAAGGAAAUGUUUUUAGU